GUGUCAGCAGCCGCGGUAAUACGGAGGAUCCGAGCGUUAUCCGGAUUUAUUGGGUUUAAAGGGAGCGUAGGCGGAUGUUUAAGUCAGUUGUGAAAGUUUAAGGCUCAACCUUGAAAUUGCAGUUGAUACUGGACGUCUUGAGUGCAUUACAUGUGGGGGGAAUUCGUGGUGUAGCGGUGGAAUGCUUAGAUAGCACGAGAAAAGCCAAUUGCGAAGGCAGCUCACAGGACUGUAACUGACGCUGAUGCACGAAAG
This 255-nucleotide ribosomal RNA is filed under the name uncultured bacterium. Its description in RNAcentral is "partial 16S rRNA". It matches the Rfam family "Bacterial small subunit ribosomal RNA", at positions 505 to 759 of the family's 1533-position model. The record is from RNAcentral.